GAAAUAUGAAAUUUAUUAGAGAGGAUUGCUUCAUUUGCAUUAAGAAAAGGAAGGAGAAAGCAUUAUUGAAUGUACCAUAUUGAAAUAUGAAACUUAUUAGAGAGGGUUGCUUCAUUUAUAUUAAGAAAAAAUACCGACAACAAUUUGGUAUCUAAAUUCACAACGACAACAAAUAUGCAAAAAAAAAUAAAAAAUAAAAAAAAAUAUUUGUAUACGGCCUGCUGUACAAAACGAGCCCAGCCUUAUUUAAGGCCCAAAAAAAUAACGGACUCCCAAUCUAAUCCCAUUCCUCGUGAUUUUUAAUACAACCGUUUAAUUUGACUUUCGCAAACUUGUUUUUCCAGUUUCCUUCUUCUUUUCCCAAACCGCCAUUACUUCUGUCACUUUGACCCUUUAUUUCGCCUCUGCAAUUCUCUCUUUUCUCACUUCUUUAUUUAAUUUUCUCUGCAAUUUCGUUCUUUCUCUCUCUAAAUUACGUUCUCCCUACUCUAAAUUUUCUUCUUUUUUCAUCUUAAUUGUCAAAAAUGGUUAAAAUCAAGAAGGUCAUUCGUUCGGGAAAGAAAGGAGUUUCUACAUAUUCAGUCGAUGAUGAUCCAGCUGCUAAGGAUGAAAAUAAAUCUCAACCUACUGAGGAUUUGAAGUCUGGUGAGGUUGUUGAGGAUGUAAAUGAUUUGCAACCUACUGAUCUAAGGAUUUGAAAGUUGUUGAUGCUGCUGAGGAUGUUACAUCUGUUGAAGCUCCUGAGGAUGUGAAAUUUGUUGAGGUCGCUGAGAAUGUGAAAUCUGGCAUUUUAAAGAAACGAAAAGGUCGAUGUGCUGCCAAAUCUAGUCAAGAAGUUGAUGUCAAGCCUGAUGUUGAGGAUGUGAAACCUGUCAUUGCAAAGAAACGAAGAGGUCGUAAAGCUGCUGCUGAUUCUAGUCAAGUAGUUGAAGUUGUAAAAGUUGAAGGUGAAGGUGAAGAGGGGGAUGAUGGAGUUACUGUGCGAUGAGACCAGCUGGUGUUGUUCAAUUUAUGAAAAAGGCAACUGAUAAACAAAAGAGAGAUGUUGAGUCUAUUGGGUUUGGUAGUUUGGUAUCAAUGAAGUUAGAAAUCUGUCCGAGGCAAAUUAUUCGCUGGGUUUGUGCACAUUUUGAUGUAGAGACUUGUUCUUUUAAUCUACCUUCUGGACAAUCUUAUAAGCUGACAACAGCUGAUGUCCAUGAUGUUUUUAACAUUCCCAUGGGUCCUUCUGUUGUGCCCAUUUCUGGUAGACAAAGAGAUAAUGAGUUGAAGUCUUCUUAGAAGGAAAAGUAUGCCGGUGGUGAUAAAGAGAUUAUUGUUCCAGUUAUGGUUAACAGGAUGAAAAGUGAUAAGGGUAUGUUGGCAGGCAAUGAUGAUUUCAAAAGGUGUUUUGUGAUGUUUUCCAUGGUUACGUUACUUGCCCCCACAACAAAUAGGCGAGCUGAUUUGAAAUUAGUUUUAGCUUUAGAGGAUGUUGAGGAAAUUAGCAGGUAUAAUUGGUGUCAGUAUGCUUUGGACAAUCUAUGUGAUAAGUUGUCAAGUUACAAAGAUUCAGUGAAAUAUGUUGCUGGGUGUAUAAUUUUUCUGCAGCUUUGUUAUUUCCAUAGGGUUCAAAUUCAAGGGAAUGUAUUGGAUAGUUCAUUGCCAUUGAUUAGGCAUUGGAGUGAUGGGUUGAUCAAAGAAAGGAUAAGCCUCGAGAAUGGAAAUUAUGGGCAAGGUGUACUAGAUAAAGUUAUAUAUCCUGUUACUAAGGCUGAGGUUGCUGGUCAGAGUACUAAGGUGCAAAAGAAAAAAAAAAAUAGUUCAGGAGAAAAAAAGAAGACAAAGAAGUGAUUUUACUAGAGGUGGCCAAGAAGAUAAAGGAAAACAAGAAAAAAAAGGGGGGGGGGGAAGAAGAUAAAAAGGAAGAGAAGGAAUCAAUGGAAAAAGAAGAGAAAGUAGAAAAGAAAAAAAAGAGCAGUAAAACGGGUUCCUCAGAGAAAGAAACAGAGGAAAAAGAAGAGAGUUUGGAACCCAAAAAACAGGAAAAGGAAACAGAAGAAAAUGUAGAGUUUGGAGGGACCAAAUGAAGAAGAUGUAACAAAAGAACUUGACAUAACGAGUGAAGAGAAAGAGGAUGAAGAGAAAGAGGAUAAAGAAGAAAAAAAUUAAGGAAGAGAAAGAGGAUAAAGAAGAAAAAAUUGAGAAAGAGAAACAAGAGUAUUUGGAAAAAAAUGAAGAAGAGAAAGAAGAGAAUUUGGAAAAGGAUCAGCCAAUACAAAAGAAGAGAAGGCGUUUGGUCAAAAAGGCUGAUCUGAUGCCAAAGAAGAAGCCAAGGCAUUUGAUGAAAAUGUCUGCUCGAAAUGUUAUUGUUGCCGAGCAGCCUUCUCCAAUUAUAGAUUUUUUUCUAGUCUUAAAGAUUCUGAUACUACUAUUGGUGAUACUGGUGUAAACCAAGUAUCUGAAUUAAAGAAGGAUGAUGGCGGUGCUGAUGUUGAGCAGCCUUCUGCAACUGAAGGUACUGAUGCUGCUAAUGCUAGUGCUAUUGUUGGUGUUAACCAGAUUUCUGAAUUGAAUAAGGAUGAUGCAGUAGGUGAUGUUCAACAUCCUUCUUUAGUUCAAGAUGAUCAUACAGAUCAUCAAACGGAAUCUGCUGUGAAUGUUGUUUCUGAUUUUGAGGCUACUGUUUCUACUGCUGACGCUAAAGUGGUGGAUGAUAUAUAUUAAUGUUGCUGAUGAUGAUGGUACUACUGUUCCUAGUUCGUCAAGUGUUAUUCUUGAUGGGAUUUCUUCUUCAUUUUGUUGGUGAUCACAUGAAUCUGCUUGCUGAUUAGAUGAAUUUGCUGGCUGAUCAAAUGAAGUUGCAUGUUGGUCAGAUAAAGUUUCUUUCUCUCUGUUCUUUUCCAACUCCUUUUUAAAUUCUUCUGCCUUCUCUUUUAUCAUUUUCAAAUAUGCUUCCAUCAAGUUGCAUGUCUCUUUGUGUUCUUGACAAUUUAGAACUAGGCUGUAGCUUUUUCUUGCCAUCAUGUGACGCCAAGGCAUGAAUUUCUGUGUCUGAGUUUCAUUUUCAGCUGCCAUUUCAUCUCUUUUUCUCCAGACAUGUCCUUUUGCUAUUUUGGUCCAUCUUGUAAGAAUGUAACAGGUAGGUAUCCUUGUCACAUUAUGACUCUGCAAGAUCUUUAUACAGUGAUAACACAACCAACCAACCUCUUCAAAAUUCUUGCAAGAACAUGCUAUUGUAUUUUUAGCAUAGUUAUAUGUAACUUUCUGCUUAGUUAAUUCAUCGUACUCAAUCUGCACCUCAUAAAAGUAAAAAUUUCCCAUUAUAGAAUGGAGACGAGUUAAGCAUCCAAUUGAGUACAGAAAUUUUGUCUCAAAGUAUCUGAAUAUAGUCUGUGUAUAAACUUCAUAUGCAUGUUUUAGUAACCCAAAAAAUGGCAAAUUUAAACUUGGCUGAGAGUUUGAACACUUGAAAUCAGCAUCAGACUCAUUCUUCCUCCACCUCUUCAUUAUCUGAUUGAAUAUUUUGAAGAAAUCAGUUAGGCUUGUGUUUUUGUUGGCCUUAAACCCAACUGCAUUAUUGGUACUUUCGCUAAGAAAUCCUUACUUAAAGUUGUACACCAUUUUUCCCUCAAAUUGUACAACCUUUCAAACCAUCUGUUGUUUUGUAGCUUAUAUUUCUCUAUCAUAUCAUCCCAGCAUGUCUGAAAUUCAAUCAUAUAAUAUUUUAGUUGCUAAUGUACAGGGAUAACUUAUUGGGGUUACAUAAGAAUUUAAGGGUUACUUAAGAAUAAGGGGUUACUUAAGUUUUUACGGGUUACUUAAAAUCUGAUAAUAAUUAAGAAUUAAGGGGUUACUUAAGGUUGUAGGGGUUACUUAGAAUCUGAUAAUAAUUAAAAAUUAAGGGGUUACCUAAGAAUUAAGGGGUUACUUAAAUUUUUAGGGGUUACUUAAGUUUUUAGGGGUUACUUAAAAUAUGAUAAUUUUUCUUAAUUUAACAUAACACAUGACUCAGUCAUAAACACAUAAUUAUUAAGGGGUACUUAAGUUGUUAGGGGUUACUUAAAAUCUCAUAAUUUUUCUUAAUUUAACCUAACACAUGACUCAAUCAUAAACACAUAAUUAUUAAACACAUAAUUAUUAACACAAAUUUUAUAUAAGGGGUUACUCAUUCAUAAACACAUAAUUAUUAAACACAUAAUUAUUAACACAAAUUUUAAAUAAGGGGUUACUUAAUUAUAAUGGGUUACUUAAGAAUUAAGAAUUAAGGGGUUACUUAAGUUUUUAGAGGUUACUUAAAAUCUGAUAAUUUAUAAAGGGUUAAUUAAAAUAAGGGUAACUUAAGUUUUUAGGGGUUACCUGUGACACAACCAGAAAAACAUUUGUUGAAGGCAUCUUUGAAUUCUGUAUCCCUUUUUAAGGCUCCAAACUUUGAUAGAACAUUUUUUAUUAGAUGCCAAAUACAUAAUCUAUGUCUCGAUAGAGGAAAUACCUGCAAAGUAUUAAAAUAGAGGUUACUUAAGUUGUGACAUAUUCAUAGGUUACUUAAGUUGUAGAAAUACGUGAGGGGUUACUUAAGUUGUAAUAAAAGGUAAGGGGUUACUUAAGUUAUAAGGGUUACUUAAGUUAUAAGGGUUACUUUAGUUAUAAUACAAGUUUUGAGGUUACCUUUUCAAUUACUUUAGACAUAGCCAUGUCUUGAUCAGUGAUAUAGAGGCAGGUUCACUUCCACGCAUUGAUUUCUUGAAUGUGGAUAACAGCCACUCAAAUGUCUCGAUUUUCUCAUCAUCAAUAAAAGAACAACCAAACAUAACAUUUUGCCUAUGAUUGUUGACACCAACAUUGGGGCACAAAUAAGGUUAUAUAUGUUUGUCCUAUAUGUGGUGCCAAAUAUUACAACAUCUCCAUAAAUUUGAAAAUCUUCCUUUAUUUCAGAGUCCCUCCAAAAAAUAACAUUAAAUUUGUUUUGGUUUUCACCUCCUCCUAACUUAAAUCUUAAAAAGAACAGGAGUUACUUGUUAAUAAACAGGGGUUACUUACAAAAAAUGGUUACUUAAGUUAUCACUCAGGUUACUUAUAGGAGAGUUUACGUGAAAAAGAAAUCUCCAUCUUCUGCUUGCCUUUUGUAUAAUCCUUCUAUCACAGCUUGUGCAUCACCUCCUUGAAUUUUUUUCAUUUUCUUUCUUGAAAUGUAAUUGUGGUGGUCAGUCAUAGUGUGUCCAACAUUCUCCUGCCCACCUGCUUCAUUACUUAAUAAUCUGAAUGCUUCUGUUGUUCUUAAUCCACUCUCUGCCAUUAGAUCAAUGACUUUAGCUUUGUCCUUUGUUAUUUUUCUCUCUGAUCUGUGUAGACACUUCUUGCCAACUCGUGGUUAUGUACCAUAACAUGCUCUUCAACUUGAAACAUUCCAUCUUUAUUUAUUUUUGCCCUAAUAAAUGCCUUGCAGCCAGUCCUGGUAAUAGGUACUUGGUGUUUUUUUUUUCUUUUCAUUAGAUGGAGGUGGUGUUUUUAUAACUUUUGGUGCACACCUGAACCCUUCUUUAGAACAAACAAAAUUUUUUCCUAUAAGUUUUUUGUCUUUCCCUUGUGAGUACCUUGUUGUUGAGUUUCUUAUACUAAAUCCUAUAACUGUAGCAUGAAGCUAUUGAUCAUAAAUUUCAUUCAAAGUUGCUGCUGUAAACCCUACUAGACUUCCUGCAAAAUCAGCAAUAUUCUCUUGUUGAAGUUCAUCUUGAACUCCACUUUCUUCUGUCAAUGUACUAUGACUUGUUUCUGUAAUACUUGUAUUUAUUUCUGCAAAAAAGUAUAUUAAAGUUAGUAGUAUGUAUUUGUUACAGUACACAGUGGUUUACUUUAGUUAUAAGGGGUUACUAAGUGAUUAUAAGGGGUUACUUAAGUUAUUAUAAGGAAUUACUUAAGUUAUAAGGGGUUACUUAAGUUAUAAGAAGUUACUUAAAAUAUAAGAGGUUACUUAAAAAUAAAGGGUUACUUGGGUUACUUAUUACAGUAUAUAUACAGGAGUUACUUGAGUUACUUUAUAAAAAUAAGAGGUUACUUAAGUUAUAAGAGGUUACUUAAAAAUAAGGUUUACUUGGGUUACUAUUACAAUAUACGUAUAGGGGUUACUUAUAUUACUUAUUAAAGAAUACAAGGGUUACAUGUUAAUACGUACAAGGGUUACUUAUAUUACUUAUUAAAGUAUACAAGGGUUACAUGCUAUAUAAUCAGGGUUACUUAAGUUAUAAUAGGUUAUUUAAAAAUAAGGGUUACUUGGGUUACUAUAAUCAAGGGUUACUUUUUAGUUUAUUAUAUUAAAAAUUUCAAGUUUGAUUACUUAUAGGGGUUACUUUAUUUACCUUGGAAUUCAUUGCUGACAUUAGAUACUUCGAUUUCUCUGCUUCUGUUUUCGUCUUCUACAUCAAAUUCUUCAUUUAUGUCGAUUUUCAGAUUCAUCAAUGAAUCUCCUAUUUCUUCGAUCUCCAUUGAUUCUUGUGAAUCUGGUAAGUUUUGUGAUUCUUUUGUCAUAUUAAUCGAGUUGAAAUUUCUUGGAAAAAAUCGAUCGAUAUUAGGUCGAAUUAAUCGAGUUGAAAUUUCUGGGAAAAAAAUUGAUCAAUAUUAGAUCGAAAAAAAUCAAGUUGAAAUUUUGGUGGUUGUUUUUGCGAAUUGAUCGUCACUUAAAAAUGUAUUUUCUGGGUUUUUAGGGUUUAGGGAUUCGUGCUGGAGCUUUUUAUUGGUUUCAGGUUGUUUUUUUGGGAAAGAAAAGCGCGUGUACAUAAAUCCCGUUAUGCGCGCGUCAAUCCCGUUAUUUAUGCUGAUUUGGCAGCGUGCCGCAUGGUGCAGCGUGUUGUACCAAAAACGCGUUGGAAAAAAAAAAGUGAACCAAAAUGUUGAAAUACUUUCCUUGUUUUCUUCUUUUUAACCAUUAAUAAUUGUUCCAUUGCAAAAUUCUAAAAGCCAAAAUGUUGUGGCAAACUUCAUAUUCUAUAAAGAGUAAAACAAUUUGAUACUCCAUAAUCGUUAAUUUUAAUCUAUUAUCUCCUUGUUUU
Molecule: long non-coding RNA, 7025 nt
Organism: Chenopodium quinoa (quinoa)
Lineage: Eukaryota; Viridiplantae; Streptophyta; Magnoliopsida; Caryophyllales; Amaranthaceae
Exons: 4
Source: RefSeq, a predicted model, not a curated record